GGCGGGUGGGUGCGUGCUUCCUCCCUGCCCCAGGGCUUCUCCCUGAGGCUGGUAGGUGGGCCCCUCGCUUUCUGCUCUUUUCCUAGUCCCUGUCACACAGUAGGCCCAGUGCAAGUAUUUGAAGGGUGCAAAGUGAUUAAGGCUCUGCCUGGAGAAUUAAGGACCCUGAUCCUUGCGCUCUGCACUGCACCCCAGGCUCUGACGUUCCCUUUUGGGCCAUCAAGAACAGCUGGGGCACUGACUGGGGUGAGAAGGGUUACUACUACUUGCAUCGUGGGUCCGGGGCCUGUGGCGUGAACACCAUGGCCAGCUCGGCGGUGGUGGACUGAAGAGGGGCCCCCAGCUCGGGACCUGGUGCUGAUCAGAGUGGCUGCUGCCCCAGCCUGACAUGUGUCCAGGCCCCUCCCCGGGAGGUACAGCUGGCAGAGGGAAAGGCACUGGGUACCUCAGGGUGAGCAGAGGGCACUGGGCUGGGGCACAGCCCCUGCUUCCCUGCACCCCAUUCCCACCCUGAAGUUCUGCACCUGCACCUUUGUUGAAUUGUGGUAGCUUAGGAGGAUGUCGGGGUGAAGGGUGGUAUCUUGGCAGUUGAAGCUGGGGCAAGAACUCUGGGCUUGGGUAAUGAGCAGGAAGAAAAUUUUCUGAUCUUAAGCCCAGCUCUGUUCUGCCCCCGCUUUCCUCUGUUUGAUACUAUAAAUUUUCUGGUUCCCUUGGAUUUAGGGAUAGUGUCCCUCUCCAUGUCCAGGAAACUUGUAACCACCCUUUUCUAACAGCAAUAAAGAGGUGUCCUUGUC
RNAcentral lists this long non-coding RNA (794 nucleotides) under Homo sapiens (human). Its description in RNAcentral is "HSALNT0177075". The record is from RNAcentral. Lineage: Eukaryota; Metazoa; Chordata; Mammalia; Primates; Hominidae.